RNAcentral lists this ribosomal RNA (1342 nucleotides) under Platymantis adiastolus. RNAcentral's name for it is "partial 16S ribosomal RNA". It matches the Rfam family "Bacterial large subunit ribosomal RNA", at positions 269 to 2571 of the family's 2925-position model. The record is from RNAcentral. Lineage: Eukaryota; Metazoa; Chordata; Amphibia; Anura; Ceratobatrachidae.
CCAAAUAUCUAGCCUACCUGUCACCACCCAUUAUAACUUUAAUAAAACAUUUUCACCUUUUAGUUGGGGAGACUGAAAAAUUAAUAAGCGCUUUAGACCAAGUACCGAGAGGGAACGAUGAAAUAAUAAUGAAAACUAAAGCCAUUAACACAGCAAGGCUCACCCCCCGUACCUUUUGCAUCAUGGUCAAGCCAGUCCAACUAGACGAAAAGUAUUUUAGUCUAACUUCCCGAAACUGGGUGAGCUACUUUAAAACAGUUUAUAGAACAAACCCGUCCCUGUCGCAAAAGGGUGGGAAGAUUUUUCAGUAGCAGUGAAAAGCUUAUCGGACCCAGAGAUAGCUGGUUGUCUAAGAAAAGAAUCUAAGUUCAACCUUAAGGUUCAAUAUAACCCUAAAUAGACCCCAAACCUUAAGAGCUAUUCAAAUAGGGUACAGCCUAUUUGACCCAGGACACAGCCUCCAACAUAGGGUAAUAUCUAUUGCACCAAAAAGUAGGCCUGAAAGCAGCCNNNNNNNNNNNNNNNNNNNNNNNCACUAAUCCCACCUAAUACCGCGCCCCUCAAAUAACCCCUAAUCACUAUUAGACGACUCCAUAACCUCAUGGAAGACAUUAUGCUUGAACUAGUAACAAGAAUAUGUAAUUCUCCUAAAUAUAAGUAUAAGCCGCAAUAGACAGACCAACGGCAAUUAACGUUAAUAAGCCCAACACAGCAACCCCCUAGAAAACCCUGUUAACCUAGACGUUAAUCUUACACAAGAAUAUUUCAGGAAAGAUUAAAAGGCAGAGAAGGAACUCGGCAAAUAAUAACCCCGCCUGUUUACCAAAAACAUCGCCUCUUGCUUAAACAUAAGAGGUCCAGCCUGCCCAGUGACUCUUCAACGGCCACGGUACCCUAACCGUGCUAAGGUAGCGCAAUUACUUGUCCUUUAAAUGAGGGCCCGAAUGAAUGGCAUCACGAGGGUUAUACUGUCUCCUCCACCCAAUCAGUGAAACUGACCUCCCUGUGAAAAGGCAGGAAUAGUAAUAUUAGACGAGAAGACCCCAUGGAGCUUCAGACUUUGAGCAAGUCAGACACCAAGUCAAGACCUAUGCCCCCACAGUCUUCGGCUGGGGCGAUCAUGGAGUAAAAAACAACCUCCAUGCCGAAUGGAUAAUUCCUUAUCUACGAGCAACGCCUCUAAGAAACAGAAUACUGACGCCCACUGAUCCGGACCCCGAUCAACGAACCAAGUUACCCUGGGGAUAACAGCGCUAUCUGCCUUGAGAGUUCAUAUCGACAGGUGGGUUUACGACCUCGAUGUUGGAUCAGGGUGUCCUGGUGGUGCAGCCGCUACAUAAGU